UACGUAGGGGGCAAGCGUUGUCCGGAAUUAUUGGGCGUAAAGCGCACGCAGGCGGUCUAGUAAGUUCAGGGUGACAGUCAUCGGCUUAACCGGUGAAGUACCUUGAAAACUGGUAGACUUGAGUACGAGAGAGGGAUACGGAAUUCCAGGUGGAGUAGUGAAAUGCGUAGAUAUCUGGAAGAACACCAAAGGCGAAGGCAGUAUCCUGGCUCGGCACUGACGCUCAGGGGCGAAAGCGAGGGGAGCAAACAGG
Molecule: ribosomal RNA, 253 nt
Filed under: uncultured bacterium
Lineage: Bacteria
Description: partial 16S ribosomal RNA
Rfam family: Bacterial small subunit ribosomal RNA
Source: RNAcentral